GAUGAACGCUGGCGGCGUGCCUAAUACAUGCAAGUCGAGCGAACGGACGAGAAGCUUGCUUCUCCGAUGUUAGCGGCGGACGGGUGAGUAACACGUGGAUAACCUACCUAUAAGACUGGGAUAACUUCGGGAAACCGGAGCUAAUACCGGAUAAUAUUUUGAACCGCAUGGUUCAAAAGUAAAAGACGGUCUUGCUGUCACUUAUAGAUGGAUCCGCGCUGCAUUAGCUAGUUGGUAAGGUAACGGCUUACCAAGGCAACGAUGCAUAGCCGACCUGAGAGGGUGAUCGGCCACACUGGAACUGAGACACGGUCCAGACUCCUACGGGGGGCAGCAGUAGGGAAUCUUCCGCAAUGGGCGAAAGCCUGACGGAGCAACGCCGCGUGAGUGAUGAAGGUCUUCGGAUCGUAAAACUCUGUUAUUAGGGAAGAACAUAUGUGUAAGUAACUGUGCACAUCUUGACGGUACCUAAUCAGAAAGCCACGGCUAACUACGUG
This 497-nucleotide ribosomal RNA is filed under the name uncultured bacterium. RNAcentral's name for it is "partial 16S ribosomal RNA". It matches the Rfam family "Bacterial small subunit ribosomal RNA", at positions 28 to 507 of the family's 1533-position model. The record is from RNAcentral.